Molecule: ribosomal RNA, 441 nt
Filed under: uncultured Acinetobacter sp.
Lineage: Bacteria; Pseudomonadati; Pseudomonadota; Gammaproteobacteria; Moraxellales; Moraxellaceae
Description: bacterial SSU rRNA
Rfam family: Bacterial small subunit ribosomal RNA
Source: RNAcentral
GGAAUAUUGGACAAUGGGGGAAACCCUGAUCCAGCCAUGCCGCGUGUGUGAAGAAGGCCUUUUGGUUGUAAAGCACUUUAAGCGAGGAGGAGGCUACUUAGAAUAAUACUCUAAGAUAGUGGACGUUACUCGCAGAAUAAGCACCGGCUAACUCUGUGCCAGCAGCCGCGGUAAUACAGAGGGUGCGAGCGUUAAUCGGAUUUACUGGGCGUAAAGCGUACGUAGGUGGUCUUUUAAGUCGGAUGUGAAAUCCCUGAGCUUAACUUAGGAAUUGCAUUCGAUACUGGGAGACUAGAGUAUGGGAGAGGAUGGUAGAAUUCCAGGUGUAGCGGUGAAAUGCGUAGAGAUCUGGAGGAAUACCGAUGGCGAAGGCAGCCAUCUGGCCUAAUACUGACACUGAGGUACGAAAGCAUGGGGAGCAAACAGGAUUAGAUACCCGGG